Molecule: long non-coding RNA, 935 nt
Organism: Cygnus atratus (black swan)
Lineage: Eukaryota; Metazoa; Chordata; Aves; Anseriformes; Anatidae
Exons: 3
Source: RefSeq, a predicted model, not a curated record
CACAGCAGAAGCGAUCUGGUUUGGAUUAGCAAAGUCUUGAUAUUUCUCCAAUUCCAGUUUCUGUCCCAGAAAGGGGAAUCCGUCUCCUUAUCAAGAAGGCCGUGUGGCUGACGGCCUCGGAGAUGGGUCCCUUCCAACUCGGGAUAUUCUAUGAUUCUGUGAUUCUAUGAGGAUUGGGGAGGCUGUUCCUGGAGAUGAGGAUCAGGGAGGCUGCUCCAGGAACACGAGAGCCUCCGCAGAGCCCCGUGCUUGGAAGGCGCCGCAGCUCAACGCAUUCCACACGGACACGGUAAUGCUCGGCCGUGCUUCGCGCGCUGCGGCACAGGGGGAGUCGGUUCUCGUUCGAGCCCUCCCCGAGCAAAGCGAUCUACCAAAGGGCACAUUGAAACAAAGGUGAUAACCGCUCUGUCGGGACGCAUUUCACAGAACCAGUGGGAGCGGAGCACAGAGGCAGCCGCCCCCCACCACGGCACCGACCCCUACAAUAAAAGCCGCAAGGUGAAUCCCCAGGGGAGAGGCAGCGUCCCUGGCAGUGAGGGCUGAGGAAAGCUCACCCAGCAUGUCAGAACCCCAUCUGCUGGGUGACACUCCUUCCAUACAAACGCACCAACUUCCAGAGGCAACAACACGAUGACCCCGUUCUUCUGGCACUGAGACGAGAGCAGAGACUUUAGGGUUCGUUCCCAAAGUUUCCACAGAUUCCCUGCAGGACCACAGGCGAGCCACUUCAUCACCGCGCCUCUCGGUUGUCUGUCAGCAUCCUCGGGUCUGCAGGGCAGGGGCUGGCUGUCACCGGGUCACCGGGCAGCGGCAGCACAGCUGGCCCUGUGCUGUGUAAAUAAACCUGCCUGGUGCUACUGCAGUAGGAGUCAGCGAGGUUUGCAGCGGGGCUCGGCUGUUCCUAUAGGAAGCUGCUGUCAUCAUACCUCCAGGUU